Molecule: non-coding RNA, 31 nt
Filed under: Mus musculus (house mouse)
Lineage: Eukaryota; Metazoa; Chordata; Mammalia; Rodentia; Muridae
Source: RNAcentral
UGGGAAACAGCCAUAAAGAUGCCUGAACUCA